UCCUCCGUGGCGCAAUUGGCUAGCGCGUCUGACUGUUAAUUAUAAAAGGUUGAAAGUUCGAGCCUUUCCGGGGGAG
Molecule: transfer RNA, 76 nt
Filed under: Metarhizium robertsii ARSEF 23
Lineage: Eukaryota; Fungi; Ascomycota; Sordariomycetes; Hypocreales; Clavicipitaceae
Also listed under: 2 other names
Description: tRNA-Asn (GTT) (tRNA-Asn-GTT-4-1)
Rfam family: tRNA
About the family: Transfer RNA (tRNA) molecules are approximately 80 nucleotides in length. Their secondary structure includes four short double-helical elements and three loops (D, anti-codon, and T loops).
Source: RNAcentral